RNAcentral lists this ribosomal RNA (404 nucleotides) under uncultured bacterium. RNAcentral describes it as "bacterial SSU rRNA". It matches the Rfam family "Bacterial small subunit ribosomal RNA", at positions 355 to 776 of the family's 1533-position model. The record is from RNAcentral.
UGAGGAAUAUUGGACAAUGGGCGAAAGCCUGAUCCAGCCAUGCCGCGUGAGUGAAGAAGGCCUUCGGGUUGUAAAGCUCUUUCAGAUGCGAAGAUAAUGACGGUAACAUCAGAAGAAGCCCCGGCUAAAUUCGUGCCAGCAGCCGCGGUAAUACGAAUGGGGCAAGCGUUGUUCGGAAUCACUGGGCUUAAAGCGUACGUAGGCGGACAUGAAAGUCAGAAGUGAAAUCCCGGGGCUCAACCUCGGAACUGCUUUUGAAACUCCAUGUCUAGAAUCCGAGAGGGGUUAGUGGAAUUCCUAGUGUAGAGGUGAAAUUCGCAGAUAUUAGGAGGAACACCAGUGGCGAAGGCGACUGACUGGAUCGGUAUUGACGCUGAGGUACGAAAGCGUGGGGAGCAAACAGG